Transfer RNA from Zymoseptoria brevis, 73 nucleotides. It matches the Rfam family "tRNA". From Rfam's summary of the family: Transfer RNA (tRNA) molecules are approximately 80 nucleotides in length. NCBI's taxonomy places the organism in Eukaryota, Fungi, Ascomycota, Dothideomycetes, Mycosphaerellales, Mycosphaerellaceae. The record is from Rfam.
GGCCUUGUAGCGCAAUCGGUAGAGUGCUGGUUUCCGAAGCCAGAGGCUCCGGGUUCGAGUCCCGGCAAGGUCG